RNAcentral lists this ribosomal RNA (432 nucleotides) under uncultured bacterium. RNAcentral describes it as "partial 16S ribosomal RNA". It matches the Rfam family "Bacterial small subunit ribosomal RNA", at positions 29 to 506 of the family's 1533-position model. The record is from RNAcentral.
AACGAACGCUGGCGGCAUGCCUAACACAUGCAAGUCGAACGAGACCUUCGGGUCUAGUGGCGCACGGGUGCGUAACGCGUGGGAACCUGCCCUUAGGUUCGGAAUAACUCCCCGAAAGGGGUGCUAAUACCGGAUAAUGUCUUCGGACCAAAGAUUUAUCGCCUUUGGAUGGGCCCGCGUUGGAUUAGCUAGUUGGUAGGGUAAAAGCCUACCAAGGCGACGAUCCAUAGCUGGUCUGAGAGGAUGAUCAGUCACACUGGGACUGAGACACGGCCCAGACUCCUCCGGGGGGCAGCAGUGGGGAAUUUUGGACAAUGGGCGAAAGCCUGAUCCAGCAAUGCCGGGUGAGGUAUGAAGGCCUUAGGUUUGUAAAGCUCUUUUCCCCGGGAUGAUAAUGACAGUACCGGGAGAAUAAGCCCCGGCUAACCCCGG